AUGCCUCAUUGUAGCACCGAAUGCACGAGGACUGCUCCAUCUGUAGUGCAAACCAGCUCAUAUGCAUCCCUUGCAUUGCACAUGCAAAGGUUUUCCUGCAUAGCACAGAACUGUGCUGACUUUGAACGGGAAUUAAUGUCGAAGAUGCCCCUGAAAUCCAAAGCCGGAAUUCAGAUGAAAGACUUCUACAGUUUUGGACAGAUAUUAUGUUGCCUGGGGAAGCUGUGCCUCCUGACCUGGAGGAACUGAAAAUCUCCUGGAUGAUGUCCUGGAUGGGAUGGAUGACCUCCUGAGGUCCCUUAUGACUUAGCUGCUUGUACCACUCUCCCCAGAACAUGAGGUGCUCCUAGGAUUCAAGCACACAGAGAUGGAUGUGUGAGUGGAACAUUGCUGCUGCUGCUCUCUGUCAUCAGAUACAAAAAUGUAAUGUGGACAGGACAAAUUAUCUAACCUCUGUGUGACACAGGGAAUGAGCAGCAAGGAGAUGGAUGGGGUGCAGAUAUGAAGCGUGCAAAAUGUCAGCCAGUGGGUUUAAAAAGAGUAAAAGAGUCCCCAGAGAGACUCUUUUUGUAACAAACUUAUAUGAUCUGACAGUCACACACUCUAAAAUUGAAUUAAUAAAUCAUUCACAGUGCUGGUUGGAAUAGUUAAU
This 652-nucleotide long non-coding RNA is filed under the name Phasianus colchicus (ring-necked pheasant). RNAcentral describes it as "lncRNA (ENSPCLG00000010341.1)". The record is from RNAcentral. Lineage: Eukaryota; Metazoa; Chordata; Aves; Galliformes; Phasianidae.